RNAcentral lists this ribosomal RNA (506 nucleotides) under uncultured bacterium. Its description in RNAcentral is "partial 16S ribosomal RNA". It matches the Rfam family "Bacterial small subunit ribosomal RNA", at positions 29 to 523 of the family's 1533-position model. The record is from RNAcentral.
AGUGAACGCUGGCGGUAGGCUUAACACAUGCAAGUCGAACGGCAGCAUAGGAGAGCUUGCUCUCUGGGUGGCGAGUGGCGGACGGGUGAGGAAUACAUCGGAAUCUACUCUGUCGUGGGGGAUAACGUAGGGAAACUUACGCUAAUACCGCAUACGACCUACGGGUGAAAGCAGGGGAUCUUCGGACCUUGCGCGAUUGAAUGAGCCGAUGUCGGAUUAGCUAGUUGGCGGGGUAAAGGCCCACCAAGGCGACGAUCCGUAGCUGGUCUGAGAGGAUGAGCAGCCACACUGGAGCUGAGACACGGUCCAGACUCCUACGGGAGGCAGCAGUGGGGAAUAUUGGACAAUGGGCGCAAGCCUGAUCCAGCCAUACCGCGUGGGUGAAGAAGGCCUUCGGGUUGUAAAGCCCUUUUGUUGGGAAAGAAAUCCAGCUGGCUAAUACCCGGUUGGGAUGACGGUACCCAAAGAAUAAGCACCGGCUAACUUCGUGCCAGCCGCCGCAGUAA